GCAGUUCAAUUGUCCAACUUCGGCUUGAAAAAGGUAGUUUCAUCCAGGCCCAUUGACCAAAAACACGAUUUUUGGACAACUUUUGACCUUGGAAGUUUUGGGAGAGAAUUGGAGGCUACAAGACACGGGAUUUCAUCAUUUUUACAUCAAUUAGAUACGAGAGUUUAGAUUGUAACGUGAGAUUGGUACUUUUUUAUUUUUUAAUUAUAUUUGUAAUGACU
RNAcentral lists this long non-coding RNA (221 nucleotides) under Nicotiana benthamiana. RNAcentral describes it as "long non-coding RNA (NBEN_LNC036465)". Lineage: Eukaryota; Viridiplantae; Streptophyta; Magnoliopsida; Solanales; Solanaceae. The record is from RNAcentral.